This 479-nucleotide ribosomal RNA is filed under the name uncultured bacterium. RNAcentral describes it as "partial 16S ribosomal RNA". It matches the Rfam family "Bacterial small subunit ribosomal RNA", at positions 28 to 507 of the family's 1533-position model. The record is from RNAcentral.
GAUGAACGCUAGCGGGAGGCCUAACACAUGCAAGCCGAGCGGUAUUUGUUCUUCGGAACAGAGAGAGCGGCGCACGGGUGCGGAACACGUGUGCAACCUGCCUUUAUCUGGGGGAUAGCCUUUCGAAAGGAAGAUUAAUACCCCAUAAUAUAUUGAGUGGCAUCAUUUGAUAUUGAAAACUCCGGUGGAUAGAGAUGGGCACGCGCAAGAUUAGAUAGUUGGUGAGGUAACGGCUCACCAAGUCAAUGAUCUUUAGGGGGCCUGAGAGGGUGAUCCCCCACACUGGUACUGAGACACGGACCAGACUCCUACGGGAGGCAGCAGUGAGGAAUAUUGGACAAUGGGUUAGCGCCUGAUCCAGCCAUCCCGCGUGAAGGACGACGGCCCUAUGGGUUGCAAACUUCUUUUGUAUAGGGAUAAACCUACUCUCGUGAGAGUAGCUGAAGGUACUAGACGAAUAAGCACCGGCUAACUCCGUG